GAUGAACGCUGGCGGCGUGCUUAACACAUGCAAGUCGAACGGAAAGGCCCAAGCUUGCUUGGGUACUCGAGUGGCGAACGGGUGAGUAACACGUGGGUGAUCUGCCCUGCACUUCGGGAUAAGCCUGGGAAACUGGGUCUAAUACCGGAUAGGACCACUUCUUGGAUGUUGUGGUGGAAAGUUUUUUCGGUGUGGGAUGAGCUCGCGGCCUAUCAGCUUGUUGGUGGGGUAAUGGCCUACCAAGGCGUCGACGGGUAGCCGGCCUGAGAGGGUGUACGGCCACAUUGGGACUGAGAUACGGCACAGACUCCUACGGGAGGCAGCAGUGGGGAAUAUUGCACAAUGGGCGCAAGCCUGAUGCAGCGACGCCGCGUGGGGGAUGACGGCCUUCGGGUUGUAAACUACUUUCGCUAGGGACGAAGCGUUUUGUGACGGGACCGGGAGAAGAAGCACCGGCUAACUACGU
Molecule: ribosomal RNA, 466 nt
Filed under: uncultured bacterium
Lineage: Bacteria
Description: partial 16S ribosomal RNA
Rfam family: Bacterial small subunit ribosomal RNA
Source: RNAcentral